Molecule: ribosomal RNA, 445 nt
Filed under: uncultured bacterium
Lineage: Bacteria
Description: bacterial SSU rRNA
Rfam family: Bacterial small subunit ribosomal RNA
Source: RNAcentral
GGGAAAUCUUUCGGAUGAGUAAGCGGCGGACGGGUGAGUAAUACAUGGGAAUCUGCCUGGUAGUGGGGGACAACGUUUCGAAAGGAACGCUAAUACCGCAUACGCCCUACGGGGGAAAGGGGGGGAUCUUCGGACCUCUCGCUAUCAGAUGAGCCCAUGUCGGAUUAGCUAGUUGGUGGGGUAAAGGCUCACCAAGGCGACGAUCCGUAACUGGUCUGAGAGGAUGAUCAGUCACACUGGAACUGAGACACGGUCCAGACUCCUACGGGAGGCAGCAGUGGGGAAUAUUGGACAAUGGGCGCAAGCCUGAUCCAGCCAUGCCGCGUGUGUGAAGAAGGCCUUAGGGUUGUAAAGCACUUUCAGUGGGGAGAAAGGUCAUUCACCUAAUACGUGAGUGAAUUGAUGUUACCCACAGAAGAAGCACCGGCUAACUCCGUGCCAGACC